GGGCAAGCGUUGUCCGGAUUUAUUGGGCGUAAAGAGCGUGUAGGCGGCCAGGUAGGUCUGCUGUGAAAACUCGAGGCUUAACCUCGAGAUGUCGGCGGAAACCAUCUGGCUAGAGUCCGGAAGAGGAGAAUGGAAUUCCCGGUGUAGCGGUGAAAUGCGCAGAUAUCGGGAAGAACACCCGUGGCGAAGGCGGUUCUCUGGGACGGUACUGACGCUGAGACGCGAAAGCGUGGGGAGCGAACAGG
This 245-nucleotide ribosomal RNA is filed under the name uncultured bacterium. RNAcentral's name for it is "partial 16S ribosomal RNA". It matches the Rfam family "Bacterial small subunit ribosomal RNA", at positions 532 to 776 of the family's 1533-position model. The record is from RNAcentral.